This 72-nucleotide transfer RNA is filed under the name bacterium. RNAcentral's name for it is "tRNA-Thr". It matches the Rfam family "tRNA". From Rfam's summary of the family: Transfer RNA (tRNA) molecules are approximately 80 nucleotides in length. Their secondary structure includes four short double-helical elements and three loops (D, anti-codon, and T loops). The record is from RNAcentral.
GCCCAGGUAGCUCAGGGGCAGAGCGCGUCCUUGGUAAGGACGAGGUCGUCGGUUCAAAUCCGACCUUGGGCU